AACUCUCGGCAAUGGAUAUCUCGGCUCUCGCAUCGAUGAUGAAUGUAGCAAAAUGCGAUACUUGGUGUGAAUUGCAGAAUUCCGCAAACCAUCGAGUCUUUGAACACAAGUUGCGCCCGAAGCCAUUAGGUGUAGGGCAUGUUUGCCUGGGCAUCU
This is a ribosomal RNA of Camellia sinensis, 156 nucleotides long. RefSeq annotates it as 5.8S ribosomal RNA. The record is from RefSeq and is a predicted model, not a curated record. Lineage: Eukaryota; Viridiplantae; Streptophyta; Magnoliopsida; Ericales; Theaceae.